CCUCGACCUGUCCUCCCUCAGCAGCCCCAUGACUGUGACAUCCAGACCAGUUCGUGGCCCUUAGGAGGGGAAACUGAGUCCCAGCCCCAGGGUCCUCUCUCGGCUUCACUAGGUGUCCCACAGAGAAGACAGCCAGAGUGUGUCACCUGACAGGCUCACCAGAACCAGCACAGCUGCUGAGUUUUGGCUCCCGGACCCUGGAGGCCCUGCCGCCGAGGCUGGGGAUGGCGGCUCCAGAGGUCAUUCCUCCCCCGGAAGGACACACGCUGGCCUUGGGCCAGGGGACCCUCAGCGACAGGGUCACCCCAACAUUCUGGAGGCUGUGGUUCUGCUUCCUCUUGGGCCUGAGCUGAGCAAGCUCUAGCUCUCGGGCUGAGCGCAAGGCAGGCAGGAGUGAUGUCUCCAACUGUGCUGAGGUCUGCCCUGGGUGCAAGGGCCCUGUGUUUUCAGCGCUGCCGUGUGGCCCGUGGAUGCCCCAGGCCCCUGGACAAUUGAAGCCUGGGGUCCACACUCCUGGACAGGGCUCUGGACAAUUGAAGCCUGGGGUCCACACUCCUGGACAGGGCUCUGGACAGUUGAUGCCUGGGGUCCACACUCCUGGACAGGGCUCUGGACAGUUGAUGCCUGGGGUCCACACUCCUGCACAGGGCUGAGGAGGUGGUGUCCCCAGACUUGCCUCGGCACAGCUGUGGGGGGCACCCCGGACACCCGCCCUGGCCUCAGUCUCCCAUCCCAGCUGGCCCUGACACGGGUGCAUGUGACGCCCUCUUGGCUCUGGCCUUUCAGACCCAGCUCAACCACGGCCGCCCAGACCCUUGGGCUCCGGUGUCUUCCCAAAGCUCUGAGAAGCACCCCCUUGGGGCAGCCAGGGCUCUGACCACCCUCCAAACCUCAGCUGGACUCCCUGUGGCCCAGUCCGGAAGGGUUCUCCUCAGAACAGAGGGCAGACGAGGCAAGAGUCGGUCUGAGUUCUGCCCUCUGGCACCGGCAGUGCUGUGAGGGCGCAUGGAGCGGCUCAGUGGUCUCCAGGGACCUCAGCCUUAGGGGAAGUGCAGCAGAGGCCUCAAGGCCCCCCGCGCUCAGCUAACGUUGCCCUCGCUCAUCCAGAGCACAGCCCAAGCUGCAGGAGGGCCAGAAGGGCAGAUGCUCCACAGCUCGGACAGCACCCAUAAGACUCGUGUGGAGAAAACAGCAAAGGCCGGUGUGGGACGGAGAGGACGUGAACGGCGAGUGCUCGGAGAACAAGCACGCCAGCAGCGAACCCAGGGGGGCCAGCCCAACAGCCAGUGCUCCGAGACACCGGCCAACGGCGAUGCCCCAUCCUCACCACAAACGCCACUAUGAUGUGCCGACAGUGGAUGCAAAUGCAUGACACAGACAGCGAGUGCCAGUGUGACUGUCAUGGCUGAUGCUGAGCACUGCACCAACACACCAGAGAAUCUGCGGGCCCAGGGCUCAGCUCCUGCUUGCGGGGCGCAGGCCGGGCCCCACCGUCCUACGUACACAGCAGCAUGGGCACCUUAGGCCUCUCCACCCUCCUCUGCCCAGAGCCUGCCACCAUCCGUGUUGUACAAGGGCCAGGUGCUGCACAAAGAGGUCACGUGCCUUGCCCCGGGCUGCCAGCUCCAGAGAAUGGUCCAGGGACGCCAUGGUCAUCCGGCCCCAGGGCUGCUCCUGACCCUCCUGGGAUGGAUCCUCCGGGCAGAGAGGGGAUGAAUCACAUUCUGGAUGGCGGCUUCAGGUCAGAAAGCUGCCAGGUCACCCAGGUGCCACGCGAGCUGCUCCCCGGAGACGGUUUUCGGCCUUGGGUUUAUCACAGCGGCUGUUUUCUGUCUGCCAAGCCAAGCCUGGCUUUCAUCUCCCCUCGCACAAUGCUCUGCUUCCUCAGCCUCUGGGCUUAUCGUGGUUUUCUUUUCUACUGUCUGGAAUUGAAUGUUUAGUUCAUCUAUUUUGUAUUCUCUUGUUUAUAAUAAAAACAUUUUAGAUGAGAA
RNAcentral lists this long non-coding RNA (1991 nucleotides) under Pongo abelii (Sumatran orangutan). RNAcentral describes it as "lincRNA". The record is from RNAcentral. Lineage: Eukaryota; Metazoa; Chordata; Mammalia; Primates; Hominidae.